UUCUAGUCUAUACUAUUAAACGAGAAGACCUCAUUUUGGGUGUCGCUUCUCUUCUUUCCACAAUAAAUUAAUCAUCAUGUCUCUGUGUCCUAUGGAUACAGUGCAUAAUCGCAUUUGUCAUCCAUUCAUAUGAUUAUUCAGAUUGAGUUAUUUUGGGUGAAAAACGAGAAAAAAGACGUACGGAUAUGUUUCCGUCAUUGGGCGAAAUUUUAAGUCAGAUUAGACUUCCGGUUUGCGUUUUUCUGUAUACUUUGAACAUACAUUAAUACUACGAAUACAGUGUAUUUUCUGUCUUAUAUCCGUCAUUGGACGAAAUUUAAGUCAGAUUAGACCUCCGGUUUGCGUUUUUCUUUUUACUUUGAAACAAAUACAUAUACUACGAAUAAAGUGUAUUUUCUGUCUGAUAUCAUUUUCAAGUUUA
Molecule: long non-coding RNA, 421 nt
Filed under: Mytilus galloprovincialis (Mediterranean mussel)
Lineage: Eukaryota; Metazoa; Mollusca; Bivalvia; Mytilida; Mytilidae
Source: RNAcentral